ACGAAGUCUUCGGACUGAGUGGCGGACGGGUGAGUAACGCGUGAGAAUCUGCCUAGAGGUCGGGGACAACCAUUGGAAACGAUGGCUAAUACCGGAUAUGCCUUACGGGGUGAAAGAUUAAUUGCCUUUAGAAGAGCUCGCGUCUGAUUAGCUAGUUGGUGAGGUAAGAGCUCACCAAGGCAGCGAUCAGUAGCUGGUCUGAGAGGAUGACCAGCCACACUGGGACUGAGACACGGCCCAGACUCCUACGGGAGGCAGCAGUGGGGAAUUUUCCGCAAUGGGCGAAAGCCUGACGGAGCAAGACCGCGUGAGGGAGGAAGGCUCUUGGGUUGUAAACCUCUUUUGUCAGGGAAGAACAAAAUGACGGUACCUGACGAAUCAGCAUCGGCUAACUCCGUGCCAGCAGCCGCGGUAAUACGGAGGAUGCAAGCGUUAUCCGGAAUUAUUGGGCGUAAGGCGUCCGCAGGUGGCUGAUCAAGUCUGCGGUCAAAGACCGGGGCUUAACCCUGGAAAGGCCGUGGAAACUGAUAGAGCUAGAGUACCGUAGGGGUAGAGGGAAUUCCCGGUGUAGCGGUGAAAUGCGUAGAGAUCGGGAAGAACAUCGGUGGCGAAAGCGCUCUACUGGACGGUGACUGACACUCAGGGACGAAAGCUAGGGGAGCGAAUGGGAUUAGAUACCCCAGUAGUCCUAGC
Molecule: ribosomal RNA, 693 nt
Filed under: uncultured cyanobacterium
Lineage: Bacteria; Bacillati; Cyanobacteriota
Description: bacterial SSU rRNA
Rfam family: Bacterial small subunit ribosomal RNA
Source: RNAcentral